Molecule: ribosomal RNA, 208 nt
Filed under: uncultured bacterium
Lineage: Bacteria
Description: partial 16S ribosomal RNA
Rfam family: Bacterial small subunit ribosomal RNA
Source: RNAcentral
AGCGCAGGCGGGAGAACAAGUUGGAAGUGAAAUCCAUGGGGCUCAACCCAUGAACUGCUUUCAAAACCUGUUUUUCUUGAGUAGUGCAGAGGUAGGCGGAAUUCCCGGUGUAGCGGUGGAAUGCGUAGAUAUCGGGAGGAACACCAGUGGCGAAGGCGGCCUACUGGGCACCAACUGACGCUGAGGCUCGAAAGUGUGGGUAGCAACA